UUCUUCGGGGCAGGGUGAAAUUCCCGAUCGGCGGUAAAGUCCGCGAGCGUUUAACGCAGGACUUGACAUUGGUUCAAGUCAGGAUAUGGUGAAAUUCCAUAACCGACAGUAUAGUCUGGAUGAGAGAAGAG
RNAcentral lists this non-coding RNA (131 nucleotides) under uncultured Eubacterium sp. RNAcentral describes it as "FMN riboswitch (RFN element)". It matches the Rfam family "FMN riboswitch aptamer (RFN element)". Rfam says of the family: The RFN element is a highly conserved domain that is found frequently in the 5'-untranslated regions of prokaryotic mRNAs that encode for flavin mononucleotide (FMN) biosynthesis and transport proteins. This element is a metabolite-dependent riboswitch that directly binds FMN in the absence of proteins. The record is from RNAcentral. Lineage: Bacteria; Bacillati; Bacillota; Clostridia; Eubacteriales; Eubacteriaceae.